CUGGCUCAGAACGAACGCUGGCGGCGCGUUUAAGCAUGCAAGUCGAGCGGCAAGGGCCUUCGGGCCCUAGAGCGGCGGACGGGUGAGUAACACGUGGACAAUCUGCCCCCCGGCCCGGGAUAGCCCAGGGAAACCUGGAUUAAUACCGGAUGAGACGGGACCCGCGAUGGCGGGAUCCGGGAAAGGCGCUGCGGCGCCGCCGGGGGAUGAGUCUGCGUCCCAUUAGCUAGACGGCGGGGUAACGGCCCACCGUGGCGACGAUGGGUAGCCGGCCUGAGAGGGUGGACGGCCACAUUGGAACUGAGACACGGUCCAGACUCCUACGGGAGGCAGCAGCUAAGAAUCUUCCGCAAUGGGCGAAAGCCUGACGGAAGCGACGCCGCGUGAACGAAGAAGGCCGUGAGGUUGUAAAGUUCUUUUCGGGAGGGGGAACAACCGUGGCAGGGAAUGGCCGCGGGAUGACGUGAAUCCCGGAAUAAGCCCCGGCUAACUACGUGCCAGCCGCCGC
This 508-nucleotide ribosomal RNA is filed under the name uncultured bacterium. RNAcentral's name for it is "bacterial SSU rRNA". It matches the Rfam family "Bacterial small subunit ribosomal RNA", at positions 19 to 518 of the family's 1533-position model. The record is from RNAcentral.